AGCAAGUCUCCAGUGAAACUCUGUUUGUUUCUGUUGACUGGACAAGAAGCAAUGAAGCCUGUGCAAUAGAGAAAAAAAUGGAGAUUGGCAUAUAAACACAUAUCAGCAUUUAUCAAGGCCGGUGGAGAAGAGAUAUCUUCUGAUCUAUAAAGCCUAGCCCUGUAUUUGUGAAUGUAAAGAUUCCUGUCUUAUCUAAGAGCAAUACUACCAAAAUGCACAGAUGACAGAAAAAUCAUUUGAAAUAUCCUAUUUCUUUAGUUUAUGGUUCAUUACCAAAACACACUGCUUGAUAGCUUGACCACCUUUGUGAGCUUGUUUUUAAAUUCUACUCAUAAAUACUGUCAGUUAUAUUCUUAGAUCAUAUAUUAAAGUUUUUUUUUGUUUUUUUAGAUGGAGUGUCACUUUGUCCCCCAGGCUGGAGUGCAGUGGGGCGAUCUUGGUCCACUGCAACCUCUGCUCCGGGGAUCAAGUGAUUCUCCUGCUUCAGCCUCCCGAGUAGCUGGGAUUACAGGCAACCGCCACUUCUAGCUGCAUAUUUUUUCCACCUAUAAUUUUUUUGAGACCUUAAUUAUUUCGGUCUACAAUCUGCGUCUAGCAGGACUACACAGACAGCAGUUCUAAAACUUCUUUUAGCUACUUGAGAUAUUAAAUAUUUCACAUAUAUUAACAGUUUUAUAUCCCAGCAAUGGAUUCCAAAGUUGUGGCAUUGCUACCACUUAGUACUUUUGAUUUUAAGUAAAAUUACAGUAGAAAAUUUCUGGAAGUAUUCUUAGUUGAGUGUUAACUGCAGGUAUCAUGAUGUAUUUUUUAACCUAACUUGAGUCGUUCAGUUGAAUAUCUUUUAUCUUAUUUUAAAAUUUUUUCAUUAAUCAUUUUCACAUAUUUUUAUAAUUCUUAUUAGAUGUAUUGAAACAAAUAAUUAUUAAGAAGAACUAUUGUUUUACUCAUUGAUGUAUCCUUCAAAGAUAUGUAAUAUGCCAAUGUAAUGGACUCUGUAUUGGUUAUCUAUUGCUACAAUAAUGUGUAAUCAACAACCUCACAUCUCAAUGCUUAAGUCAAUAAGCUCUUUUAAAUUCACAUGCGUAUGGGUUGGCUAGGGGAUAAUCUGGUCUCAGUGACCUGUGAUGCUCAUGUGUACAUCUGUGAUUAGUAGUAGGCAGGUAGGUGGCUUCGUUUAGCUGGUUUCUCACAGGUCUGGCCUCAACUAACAUGACUCAGCUCUCCUCCACUUGUUCUCUCAUUCUCCAGCAAGCUAGCUUGGGUAUGUUCUGAAAGUCUAGUCAGAGAAAUAAGGAAGAGAAGGACAUAAGCAUUCAAGGGUUCUUGAACUCUGAUUUGGAAAUAAAAUACUGUCACUUCUUUCAUAUUCUAUUUUCUAAAAGCAAGUCACAAAGCCAUUCCAAAUUCAAGAUUCAGGAAAUAAGAUCCUACACUUUCAAAGGACCUACAAUGUCAUGUUGUCAAGGGCAUGAACACAGAAAAGAAGGGUAUGGGAUCUGGGACAUUUUUAUAAUCAAUCAAUUUUUCUUUUGUUAGUUUUACUUGUUUUAAAUGUAUACUCUUUGAAAAGGAAAAAAAUUAACUUCUCUCUGACAGUUUUCAUGGUCGUAUGUCUGUGCAUAUAUUUUGUUAAUUUCUACCCUAUUUUAAAAUUAUUUGCAUUCUGCCAUUUUUGAGGCAUUAUUUUAAUAAUAGUUUACAAGUGUCCAGUUACAUGCUUAGGUCCUAAAUUUUCAGUUACUUUUUCUCCUUAUAUAGAAGCAAAUAUUUAAAUUCCUUAUACAAUAACAAUUUAUUUUUAUCUUGC
RNAcentral lists this long non-coding RNA (1807 nucleotides) under Homo sapiens (human). RNAcentral describes it as "HSALNT0070790". The record is from RNAcentral. Lineage: Eukaryota; Metazoa; Chordata; Mammalia; Primates; Hominidae.